AUGGACGAGGAUGGAAGCUCAGGCCCGGGCUUGGUCCCUGAGGUCAUCAACCUCUUCAUCACCAACACCAACAGGAUCCUCAACGACAUCGUCGGCCUGCUGUCCGCCCCCAAGACCCCCUUCUUUCCAUUUGCUUUCGUCAUGUCAUCUUGGGUACUUAUUUCGUCCGCUCUGCUUUGCGAUACCCAGGAACCAGCCCAUGGACUUCAACAAGGUCGACGACCCGGUGCAUCAGCUCAAGGGGUGCAGCUGCAGGUGACGAUGCUAAAAUAUUUCUUUGUCCAACCCAUUUAUAACUGUAUGUUGUUCUCAGCCGCAUCCAAGGAAAGUGAGAGCACCAGCGCCAAGUCUAGGACUUGA
Molecule: ribosomal RNA, 360 nt
Filed under: Triticum aestivum (bread wheat)
Lineage: Eukaryota; Viridiplantae; Streptophyta; Magnoliopsida; Poales; Poaceae
Description: partial small subunit ribosomal RNA
Source: RNAcentral